CCUACGGGUGGCAGCAGUGGGGAAUAUUGGACAAUGGGGGCAACCCUGAUCCAGCCAUGCCGCGUGUGUGAAGAAGGCCCUCGGGUUGUAAAGCACUUUCAGUGAGGAAGAACGCCUGGUGGUUAAUACCCAUCAGGAAAGACAUCACUCACAGAAGAAGCACCGGCUAACUCCGUGCCAGCAGCCGCGGUAAUACGGAGGGUGCGAGCGUUAAUCGGAAUUACUGGGCGUAAAGCGCGCGUAGGUGGCUUGAUAAGCCGGUUGUGAAAGCCCCGGGCUCAACCUGGGAACGGCAUCCGGAACUGUCAAGCUAGAGUGCAGGAGAGGAAGGUAGAAUUCCCGGUGUAGCGGUGAAAUGCGUAGAGAUCGGGAGGAAUACCAGUGGCGAAGGCGGCCUUCUGGACUGACACUGACACUGAGGUGCGAAAGCGUGGGUAGCAAACAGGAUUAGAGACCCCUGUAGUC
This 465-nucleotide ribosomal RNA is filed under the name Vreelandella stevensii. Its description in RNAcentral is "partial 16S ribosomal RNA". It matches the Rfam family "Bacterial small subunit ribosomal RNA", at positions 338 to 795 of the family's 1533-position model. Lineage: Bacteria; Pseudomonadati; Pseudomonadota; Gammaproteobacteria; Oceanospirillales; Halomonadaceae. The record is from RNAcentral.